This 497-nucleotide ribosomal RNA is filed under the name uncultured bacterium. RNAcentral's name for it is "partial 16S ribosomal RNA". It matches the Rfam family "Bacterial small subunit ribosomal RNA", at positions 28 to 523 of the family's 1533-position model. The record is from RNAcentral.
GAUGAACGCUAGCUACAGGCUUAACACAUGCAAGUCGAGGGGUAGCAGGGUAGCAAUACCGCUGACGACCGGCGCACGGGUGAGUAACACGUAUCCAACCUUCCCAUAACUCGGGGAUAGCCUUUCGAAAGAAAGAUUAAUACCCGAUAGUACUUUUUCAAGGCAUCUUGAGAAAGUUAAAGAUUUAUUGGUUAUGGAUGGGGAUGCGUUCCAUUAGAUAGUUGGUGAGGUAACGGCUCACCAAGUCUUCGAUGGAUAGGGGUUCUGAGAGGAAGGUCCCCCACAUUGGUACUGCGACACGGACAAACUCCUACGGGAGGCAUCAGUGAGGAAUAUUGGUCAAUGGGCGAGAGCCUGAACCAGCCAAGUAGCGUGAAGGAUGAAGGUCCUAUGGAUUGUAAACUUCUUUUAUAGUAGAAUAAAGUGACCUACGUGUAGGUUUUUGUAUGUAUACUAUGAAUAAGGAUCGGCUAACUCCGUGCCAGCCGCCGCAGUAA